CUGACCGAGCAACGCCGCGUGAAUGACGAAGUACUUCGGUAUGUAAAGUUCUUUUAUCAAGGAAGAAAAGCAAAUGGCGAACCAUUUGUUUGCCGGUACUUGAUGAAUAAGCCCCGGCUAAUUAUGUGCCAGCAGCCGCGGUAAGACAUAAGGGGCAAGUGUUAUCCGGAAUUAUUGGGCGUAAAGGGUGCGUAGGCGGUCUAGUAAGUCAGUGGUGUAAUGGCAACGCUUAACGUUGUCCGGCUAUUGAAACUGCUAAACUUGAGUUAGAUAGAGGCGAGUGGAAUUCCAUGUGUAGCGGUAAAAUGCGUAAAUAUAUGGAGGAACACCAGAGGCGUAGGCGGCUCGCUGGGUCUUAACUGACGCUGAGGCACGAAAGCGUGGGGAGCAAACAGGAUUAGAUACCCUGGUAGUCCACGCCGUAAACGAUGAGUACUAAGUGUCGGGUUAAACCGGUACUGAAGUUAACACAUUAAGUACUCCGCCUGAGUAGUACGUACGCAAGUAUGAAACUUAAAGGAAUUGACGGGACUCCGCACAAGCGGUGGAUCAUGUUGUUUAAUUCGAAGAUACCCGAAAAACCUUACCAGGUCUUGACAUGUUUUUGCAAAAUGAUAGUAAUAUCGUGGAGGUUACCAGAAACACAGGUGGUGCAUGGUUGUCGUCAGCUCGUGUCGUGAGAUGUUAGGUUAAGUCCUAAAACGAGCGAAACCCUUAUCGUUAGUUGCCAGCACGUUAUGGUGGGGACUUUAACGAGACUGCCAAUGAUAAAUUGGAGGAAGGUGAGGAUCACGUCAAAUCAGCAUGCCCCUUAUGACCUGGGCUACAAACGUGAUACAAUGGCUGUUACA
RNAcentral lists this ribosomal RNA (851 nucleotides) under Eggplant phyllody phytoplasma. RNAcentral describes it as "bacterial SSU rRNA". It matches the Rfam family "Bacterial small subunit ribosomal RNA", at positions 383 to 1241 of the family's 1533-position model. Lineage: Bacteria; Bacillati; Mycoplasmatota; Mollicutes; Acholeplasmatales; Acholeplasmataceae. The record is from RNAcentral.